UGGGGAAUAUUGGAUAAUGGAGGAAACUCUGAUCCAGCAAUUCUGUGUGUGUGAAGAAUGUUUUAGGACUGUAAAACACUUUUAGUAGGGAAGAAAAAAAUGACGGUACCUACAGAAGAAGCAACGGCUAAAUACGUGCCAGCAGCCGCGGUAAUACGUAUGUUGCGAGCGUUAUCCGGAAUUAUUGGGCUUAAAGUGCAUCUAGGCGGUAAGACAAGUUGACGGUGAAAACCUGUGGCUCAACCAUAGGCUUGCCUACAAAACUGUUGAACUAGAGUACUGGGAAGGUGGGGGGAACUACACGAGUAGAGGUGAAAAUCGUAGAUAUGUGUAGGAAUGACGAUGAUGGAGAUAACUCACUGGACAGAAAAUGACGCUGAAGAGCGAAAGCUAGGGGAGCAAACAGG
Molecule: ribosomal RNA, 407 nt
Filed under: Verrucomicrobiota bacterium
Lineage: Bacteria; Pseudomonadati; Verrucomicrobiota
Description: Verrucomicrobia bacterium partial 16S ribosomal RNA
Rfam family: Bacterial small subunit ribosomal RNA
Source: RNAcentral